UUUUUUUUUUGGCUGAUGAUGUUAAUGAAGUUAAGCCUAGCCUUUUUCCUGUCUUGUAGGAAAAUUUACUUUUGAGGUGUGGGUUUGCAGUUUCCAGGAAACUACGAGCCUCAUGAUUAAGGUGGGUACAAAAAUCAUCAUUAAUGAAUUUCUCUUCUCCUCCUUCACGUGUAAAGUUAUGAUGGAACUAAAUGCUUGAUAAAAGAAGUUUCACCACGUGAAA
RNAcentral lists this unclassified non-coding RNA (223 nucleotides) under Hevea brasiliensis (rubber tree). Lineage: Eukaryota; Viridiplantae; Streptophyta; Magnoliopsida; Malpighiales; Euphorbiaceae. The record is from RNAcentral.